Long non-coding RNA from Hippoglossus stenolepis (Pacific halibut), 1412 nucleotides. RefSeq lists it as uncharacterized. The transcript has 5 exons. The record is from RefSeq and is a predicted model, not a curated record. NCBI's taxonomy places the organism in Eukaryota, Metazoa, Chordata, Actinopteri, Pleuronectiformes, Pleuronectidae.
CCUUAUGAUGUCAUUUCCUGUGGAUUCACGCCGUUCCCCUCAGUUCGAGCUCUGCGCUGCUGAGUAGAGAAAAUAAAUCCUCCCACGGCUGGCGAGAGAGCAGUUGUCCUGGUUUUAUUCACCACAAGUCAACACAACGCAGAGUUUUCACAUGACCAGGUUACACAAGGCAAUAUAUGCGCAGAGGGGGAGGAUUGCCACAGGAGAACAGAGAGAGACAGAAACAACAACAACCAACCGAGCAGAACUCUUAAGUUUGAUAUAUCUCGACAUUAAGCCACCAUGUCCGAGUGCCCUAUUUGUAAGGUGAGGUUUCACCAGUUGCACAAGCACCUGCAGAAUAGACAUUUUGUGGGAAAUUUAACAGAACGCCGCAUCCUUUUAAACCUGGCGACAGGAAGAGUGAACAUACGUAAAUGUCCUUGCCCAGUGAGCAUGUGUGUCUACGCUCAGUCCAGGCUGGACAAGCACGUGAUGCAGGCCCACACAGACUUGAGCAUCGCUGAGAGGGUCGCCAAGUUGCAGGAGGCCAAACGGAGGCAGUCCUUGAAGCUUCUGGUUCAGCUGCGGGAAACUCAGCCUACCCCAGAUGUGAGCAUAGCCUUGGACCUAAUAGUGGAGGCUGGUGAGGAGCAGAUCCUUGAGAUUUCCAUGGACAUUCCCACCCUCACAGAUUGCGGCGUCCCUGCUGGUCAGGUGGAGAAAAGGGCUUAUACAAAAGAAGUAGAAAAGCUGAGGUCUCAGAAAGAACUCAUCCAUGAUGUCAGAAUGCUGAGACAGAGAUUGCAGCAGCUGGAGAGGAGUCAGAGGCACAAGACAUGGCCCAGCAGCUUAGAUGAAAGACAACCAAAAGAGCCAGAUGUGCCUAGUGUGGACCAGCAGCGGAGGUGAAAGUCAACAAGAGGAGCCAGAGGAGUGUGUGAUGGAGAGGGGCGAGGAGGAGGAGGAGGAGGCAGGCCCAUCUUCAACAGGCCCAUCUUCAGCAGGCCCUGGACAAAAGAGGAAGGAGGCCCAGUCCCACACUGGAGCAAAACAGAAUGCCACAGCUUUCCUCGGCAUCAAAGUUCGUGCCCUGGAACACAGGCAAUCGCAUGAGAACGAUUACCCUGAAAAGUAACUUUUUGCAUACCUGUCUGAGACUUUAUGACCUGAACUGUGCAGUGGGAAAAUAACUAAGUGUGGUUGAAACCUAUUUUUGUAGUUGAAAAGUAAGUUUUUGCAGACCUGUCUAAAUACUUUUAUAACCUGUCUAAAUACUUUUAGGAACUGAACUGUUAAUGAUCUCAACUUUUAUGACCUGAAACCUUUAUGACCUUUUUAUUACUUAUUUACUCUCCAAAGAACUGAAUGUAUGUCUGCUUUAUCUCCAAAGGAAACAUAUGUAAAUCAGUUGUCUGUGUUUAGAUUCCUCU